UAAUAUGAUUUUAAUCGAUUAUUGUGGUUUAGUUUGAGUGCCUCAGUAUUUUAUAGAAAGGAAUUUAAAAUGUGUGAACAAAAUUCUGCAGUCUACGCGAACAUUAAGUUGAAAGUUAUGUUAAUAGGAGUUAUAACCUUUAUAAUAUGUCUUAUAGGUUUUAGUUUGGCACUGUACGUUAUAAUAUUAGAAGAAUAUAACCAGACGAAGUUUCGAUCAACUAAUGAGUUGCAACAUGUAUUGGAUAUGGAAAUCGAUAGUAACGUAAUUAACUUGGUUGCUGGAAUUGCGGGUGUUAUAUUCUUAUUGGCAAUGAUCUUCUCCGUUCUUCUGCUUAUUGGAAUACAUAAGAACAAACCCGGUUUUGUCCUCGCUUAUUUUGGAUAUAGUACGAUGCUCACAAUGCUUCUAAUAUUAAGCGCAAUCUUGGAACUCAUUCAAAGUUAUUGGGCCCUAGCCAUUCCUACUUUAGUUUUAUCAACUUUUUAUAUACCCUGCCUGAUGAUUGUACACACUGUAUAUGAAAUGAUGCAGAAAGGAUUAUUAUUAGGCUCUGACAGACACAACCUUAUUGAAAAUGAAUCCCUAAAUUGACUGUAAACAAAAUUUGAUUGCUUUUAAACAUUGUUUGAUUCCAUACAUUAGAUUAAGAAGUAUAAACUAUGCUGAAGCUAUUUAUAUAAUUUGUUUUAAUAUUAUACAUAUGUAGAAUAUGCUUUAUUUUAUAGUGUAGUAGUUAUUUUAAGAGAGGGUUAGGUAAAAAUAUGUAUUUUACUUAAUUUGUA
Molecule: long non-coding RNA, 785 nt
Organism: Vanessa tameamea
Lineage: Eukaryota; Metazoa; Arthropoda; Insecta; Lepidoptera; Nymphalidae
Exons: 4
Source: RefSeq, a predicted model, not a curated record